AGAGUUUGAUCAUGGCUCAGGAUGAACGCUGGCGGCGUGCUUAACACAUGCAAGUCGAACGGAAGUAGUAAUACUUCAGUGGCGCACGGGUGAGGAACACGUAGCUCACCUGCCCCGAAGUGUGGGAUAACGCUCCGAAAGGAGUGCUAAUACCGCAUAAGCUCACGGACUGUAGAGGUCUGUGAGAAAAGGCGAAGCUCGCAAGAGCCAGUCGCUUCGGGAGGAGGCUGCGGCCCAUCAGGUAGUUGGUGUGGUAACGGCGCACCAAGCCGACGACGGGUAGGGGACCUGAGAGGGUGACCCCCCACACUGGGACUGAGACACGGCCCAGACUCCUACGGGAGGCAGCAGUGAGGAAUAUUGCCCAAUGGAGGAAACUCUGAGGCAGCGACGCCGCGUGGGUGAAGAAGGCCUUCGGGUCGUAAAGCCCUUUUCUGUGUGACGAGCACGGACGGUAGCACAGGAAAAAGUCUCGGCUAACUACGUGCCAGCAGCCGCGGUAAAACGUAGGAGGCAAGCGUUAUCCGGAGUUACUGGGCGUAAAGCGUGCGUAGGCGGGUCGGUAAGUGGGUCGUGAAAGCGCCGGGCUAAACCGGGCGAGGACGAACUAGACUGCCGGUCUAGAGGCGGAUAGAGGGGUGCGGAAUUCCGGGUGUAGCGGUGAAAUGUGUAGAGAUCCGGAGGAACACCAGUGGUGCAAACGGCGCCCUGUGUCCGAACUGACGCUGAGGCACGAAAGCGUGGGGAGCGAACGGGAUUAGAGACCCCGGUAGUCCACGCCGUAAACGAUGUCAACUAGGUGUCCACCUGGCUACGGUCAAGGGGGUGCCGAAGCCAACGCCAUAAGUUGACCGCCUGGGGAGUACGGUCGCAAGGCUAAAACUCAAAUGAAUUGACGG
This 899-nucleotide ribosomal RNA is filed under the name uncultured bacterium. RNAcentral describes it as "bacterial SSU rRNA". It matches the Rfam family "Bacterial small subunit ribosomal RNA", at positions 8 to 916 of the family's 1533-position model. The record is from RNAcentral.